GCAUAUCAAUAAGCGGAGGAAAAGAAACUAACCAGAAUUCCCUCAGUAAGGGCGACUGAAGCGGGAAGAGCUCAGGAUGUGAAUCUGCGCCUUGGUGCGCCGAAUUGUGGUCUGUCGACGGUGGCAUUACUGGCCGGGCCAAGUCCUUUGGAACAAGGCAGCUGAGAGGGUGAGACUCCCGUCCGCCUGGCCUCUGGAGCGAGUGUCAACGAGUCGAGUUGUUUGGGAAU
Molecule: ribosomal RNA, 230 nt
Filed under: uncultured fungus
Lineage: Eukaryota; Fungi
Description: partial 26S ribosomal RNA
Rfam family: Eukaryotic large subunit ribosomal RNA
Source: RNAcentral